UAAGGAAUAUUGGUCAAUGGACGCAAGUCUGAACCAGCCAUGCCGCGUGGAGGAUGAAGGCCCUCUGGGUUGUAAACUUCUUUUAUUGGGGAAGAAACCCGACUUUUCUAAGACGGUUGACGGCACUCAAUGAAUAAGCACCGGCUAACUCCGUGCCAGCAGCCGCGGUAAUACGGAGGGUGCAAGCGUUAUCCGGAUUCACUGGGUUUAAAGGUGCGUAGGUGGGCAGGUAAGUCAGUGGUGAAAUCUCCGGGCUUAACCCGGAAACUGCCGUUGAUACUAUCUGUCUUGAAUAUAGUGGAGGUGAGCGGAAUAUGUCAUGUAGCGGUGAAAUGCUUAGAUAUGACAUAGAACAUCGAUUGCGAAGGCAGCUCGCUACGCUAUUAUUGACACUGAGGCACGAAAGCGUGGGGAUCAAACAGGAUUAGAUACCCUGGUAGUCCACGCCCUAAACGAUGGAUACUCGACAUCAGCGAUACACGGUUGGUGUCUGAGCGAAAG
RNAcentral lists this ribosomal RNA (501 nucleotides) under uncultured bacterium. RNAcentral describes it as "bacterial SSU rRNA". It matches the Rfam family "Bacterial small subunit ribosomal RNA", at positions 355 to 857 of the family's 1533-position model. The record is from RNAcentral.